Molecule: long non-coding RNA, 159 nt
Organism: Hibiscus syriacus
Lineage: Eukaryota; Viridiplantae; Streptophyta; Magnoliopsida; Malvales; Malvaceae
Exons: 3
Source: RefSeq, a predicted model, not a curated record
UGACAGGCUUUGAAGAAUGUGAAGAAGGUAAUGAUCAUAAAGGCAGGUGAGGUGGUGUAGUGGGAUCAAUGAUGGCGAUGGAGAGGAUACACAGAAAGAGGACUUCACCAUCAUUGCUGUUGGGUUGAGAGAGAGAAAAAAACAAAGUAUAAAAAAAUU